UAGAAAUCUGAAAUGUUCAAAAUUUAUAGAUUUCCCACUACCAAUAUUUAUUAUUACAUUCCACUUUAUUGUAAUAAAUAUAAGAAUCAGACACAAAAAGGAUGCUUUUCACAUAUCAGACCAUUACACAUAGAUUCAUAUGUAUGUGAAUUGCAUGGACCAGUCACAGAAUUUACUGAUUACAUCAUUGUUGUAAAUAUCAGUUGCCAUAAGUCGAGGAUAAUUUAAAUAGAAGACUACCUAUAGUUUAAUUUAGGAAAACCAAAAAUUUUUUUUAUUAUAUAUUUGGCUUAAUUUCUUUUUGUGUUUCUAUUAGUUACAUAU
This 324-nucleotide long non-coding RNA is filed under the name Androctonus crassicauda. The record is from RNAcentral. Lineage: Eukaryota; Metazoa; Arthropoda; Arachnida; Scorpiones; Buthidae.